Molecule: ribosomal RNA, 491 nt
Filed under: uncultured bacterium
Lineage: Bacteria
Description: partial 16S ribosomal RNA
Rfam family: Bacterial small subunit ribosomal RNA
Source: RNAcentral
GAUGAACGCUGGCUACAGGCUUAACACAUGCAAGUCGAGGGGAAACGACGGGGAAGCUUGCUUCCCCGGGCGUCGACCGGCGCACGGGUGAGUAACGCGUAUCCAACCUGCCUCUGACUGAGGGAUAACCCGUCGAAAGUCGGCCUAAUACCUCAUGGCAUCGUCUGCGGGCAUCCAACGACGAUUAAAGAUUUCAUCGGUCAGGGAUGGGGAUGCGUCUGAUUAGCUUGUUGGCGGGGUAACGGCCCACCAAGGCUACGAUCAGUAGGGGUUCUGAGAGGAAGGUCCCCCACAUUGGAACUGAGACACGGACCAAACUCCUACGGGAGGCAGCAGUGAGGAAUAUUGGUCAAUGGGCGGGAGCAUGAACCAGCCAAGUAGCGUGCAGGAUGACGGCCCUAUGGGUUGUAAACUGCUUUUAUGCGGGGAUAAAGUGAGGGACGUGUCCUUCAUUGCAGGUACCGAAUGAAUAAGGACCGGCUAAUUCCGUG